UCAUCAGGAAUACAGAUGCAUGAUCACUGAUACAAACCUGAUAUGUAGAAAUCUGGUUUUACGUCAAAGGUCUCUGUGCCUCUGCAUUGGCUGAUCCCAUGUUUGGAAUGCUCUUCCACCCCUAACAAGACUCAGCUGUAAUGUUGCCUCCUGAAGGAGACCUUUCUUAGUCCUCCCAGCUGCUGAGCUUGCCUUAUUAAGCGAGAGUGACCUGAGGUGGCAAAGCAUGAACAAAAGACAAGAAGACAUGGGAGUGAAAGACUCAUCAUAAGUGAAAGACAUUAUCAUAAGUGGAAGACACUGUGUAGUUGAACUAGUCAAAUAUAGUGAUGGACAACUGACAUAGUUCUAACUCCUAACAUUUAUUCCAAGAUGGUGGGGCUUGAGGCACAAGGUUUGAAAUUUCUAAUGCAUGUUAUAGGCCCUUAAUUUUUGUUAGCAAUAUAGAAAUGAGAUAGUUUUUGUGGGCUUAUCUUAUACCUACUGAUAUAUUAUCUCAUUUUUUUAGUCUUUUGCAUUUUCUUAAUUAUCAUACCAUUUGCAAAUAGAGAUAUUUGACCUUUUCUUUGUUAAUGCUUAUUACUUUAAUUUCUUUUUUGUCUUAUUGCUGUAGUUAGUAUUUAAAAUACCAUGUUAAAUAAUAAGGAUGAAACUAGGUGGUGUUGCUUUUCCUCUGUUCUUAGUGGGAAAGCAUCUAAUAUUUCUUCAUUAUAUAUACCAUCAGCUAUUGGAUUUAGAUAAAUGUUUUUAUCAUAUCAAGGAAAAAACCAUCCAGUCUUAUGGUUUUUAAUGUUUUGAACAUGAACUUGCAUACUAUUUUGUCAAAAGCUUUAUCUGCAUCAAAUAAUA
Non-coding RNA from Phascolarctos cinereus (koala), 849 nucleotides. NCBI's taxonomy places the organism in Eukaryota, Metazoa, Chordata, Mammalia, Diprotodontia, Phascolarctidae. The record is from RefSeq and is a predicted model, not a curated record.